CAAGAAAGAAAGAUUCUUCAUCUUUCUCUCCAAGAAAGCCAUAGCCGACGCCACCUUUUCUCUUCUUCUUCUCUCUUCUCAUCUUCAAGAAAUCAAGUUCCCCUCAUCUUCUUCAAGCUUUGUGACUGCAUAGCAAGGGAAGAAGAAAAACAUUUUUCUUUCAUCCUAUCCAAACCAUACAAGUAUACUCCCUCCAUACACAUUUUUGGUUUUGACUCAAAGCCUAGAACCAAAACUUGUUUUCAUCUUCAAAAUGGUGAAAUCUUGAAGGGGCUUAGCACAGUGUAAUCAUCCUUGCUCUUCAUCUACACGACUAUACCACUAUUUGGUCUUCCGCUUGUGUUUUGAAAGGGGCUAAGAGAUCAAGGGAGGGCUAAAGAAUGUUGUACGAGUAUUAACACGCUUAUGACAUUUAUUGGAAUAAGAUCUAUUGUGAAGUUGGAGGUAACGAGGAGCAUAGAUGUAAUGACGAAAAGGCUGGGGAGCAAGGUAUUACUGCAGAGGGAGAGACAGACGCUUAGUGUCUUCCCUAACUAAAACAAUUAUGUUUUUAUGAACGUAUGAUGGACUCUGAGAGUCUCUUAUGGAUGAA
Long non-coding RNA from Juglans regia (Persian walnut), 592 nucleotides. RefSeq lists it as uncharacterized. The record is from RefSeq and is a predicted model, not a curated record. NCBI's taxonomy places the organism in Eukaryota, Viridiplantae, Streptophyta, Magnoliopsida, Fagales, Juglandaceae. The transcript has 4 exons.